AGGUGGGAGGCUUUGAGUAUAUGACGCCAGUUGUAUAUGAGCCAUUGUUGAGAUACCACUCUUUCUUAUUUGGGUAGCUAACCAGCUUGAGUUAUCCUCAAGUGGGACAAUGUCUGGUGGGUAGUUUGACUGGGGCGGUCGCCUCCCAAAUAAUAACGGAGGCUUACAAAGGUUGGCUCAGAACGGUUGGAAAUCGUUCGUAGAGUAUAAAGGUAUAAGCCAGCUUAACUGCAAGACAUACAAGUCAAGCAGAGACGAAAGUCGGUCUUAGUGAUCCGGUGGUUCUGUGUGGAAGGGCCAUCGCUCAAAGGAUAAAAGGUACCCCGGGGAUAACAGGCUGAUCUCCCCCAAGAGCUCACAUCGACGGGGAGGUUUGGCACCUCGAUGUCGGCUCA
RNAcentral lists this ribosomal RNA (395 nucleotides) under Campylobacter coli. Its description in RNAcentral is "partial 23S ribosomal RNA". It matches the Rfam family "Bacterial large subunit ribosomal RNA", at positions 2145 to 2539 of the family's 2925-position model. Lineage: Bacteria; Pseudomonadati; Campylobacterota; Epsilonproteobacteria; Campylobacterales; Campylobacteraceae. The record is from RNAcentral.